RNAcentral lists this long non-coding RNA (959 nucleotides) under Felis catus (domestic cat). RNAcentral's name for it is "lncRNA (ENSFCAG00000049039.1)". The record is from RNAcentral. Lineage: Eukaryota; Metazoa; Chordata; Mammalia; Carnivora; Felidae.
ACCCAACCCACGCCAGCCCCACUUUGUCGGUUUUACCACUGGGUUCUAGGUGAGAAGGUUUCAUUUGAAGGAAAGCUCCACUGCUUUCAAAUUUUUUGAAGAAUUGUUCUCUUGGACCAACUUAUUUGUCGUAAUCUAUCCUGGGUGUGCCAAGGAAGCCUACGUGUCGGGGACUAACCUGGCCUAACUUGCGUGUGCUGGGCUGACUCCUGAGUCCUGUGCUAUCCUGGGCUCACAGGUGCUCCAAACCCACCCAGGUGUUUUAGGAUAGCAUGUGUCUCUGGGCUAACCUGGGACAACGUGUGUGUCCCGCAUGAAUGUGUGGGGCUGGGCUAGCCUGAGAGCUAGUUCCAGGCUAGGCUGGGCUAAGCUACAUGUUCAGAGAUGGCUUGCAGGUUCUGGGCCACUCUAGGCACCUGUUCCAGGCUAAUUUGCAAGAUCUGGGGGAGCUGCCUCUCUCUGUCCUAGAGACAAGGACCAGGAAGAGAGCUCUGGUCCUAGUGCCCUCUUAGUUCUUCAACGGUGGGGAAGCUGUCCUGUUUUCCUUCUGAUGAGAACAGCCAGUACCAAAGAGCUUGGGGUUCCUUCAGGAGCAAGCACCCGGGACGGCCUCAGGAGUCCGGAGCCAGCCUCCCCCUGAACUCGUGGGGGUGGAGGAGGACACAGCCAGCUUUUGCCCAGGGCAGGCGGGGCUGGGCUGGGCAGGUGAGGGACAAUGGGGUCAUUGUGCGUUCUGGGGAGGAGGCCAGACAAUAGGAGAGCUCCCCGUCCUUCCUGAUUCUUCCUGCAGAAGGAAGUCAGGGACCUCAAGUGAGUCUCAGCUCCACCCCAGCUUCGCCAAGAGCCCCCUCAAGAAAGCCUGGCAUUCGUGCACAGCUCUGUGCCUGGCGGUGUCACCCCCAUCCACCCAUGGUUUUGGCGGAAGGAGGAUCAUCUGUCCAGUUGGCAGGUCCAGCCCA